RNAcentral lists this ribosomal RNA (254 nucleotides) under uncultured bacterium. RNAcentral describes it as "partial 16S ribosomal RNA". It matches the Rfam family "Bacterial small subunit ribosomal RNA", at positions 524 to 776 of the family's 1533-position model. The record is from RNAcentral.
UACAGAGGGUGCAAGCGUUGUUCGGAAUCAUUGGGCGUAAAGGGCGCGUAGGCGGGAUGGCAAGUCAGUCGUGAAAUCUCUCGGCUCAACCGAGAAACGUCGGCUGAUACUGCCGUUCUUGAGGGAUGCAGAGGAGACUGGAAUUUACGGUGUAGCGGUGAAAUGCGUAGAUAUCGUAAGGAAGACCAGUGGCGAAGGCGGGUCUCUGGACAGUUCCGUGACGCUGAGGCACGAAGGCCAGGGGAGCAAACGGG